Molecule: long non-coding RNA, 1364 nt
Organism: Rhineura floridana
Lineage: Eukaryota; Metazoa; Chordata; Lepidosauria; Squamata; Rhineuridae
Exons: 3
Source: RefSeq, a predicted model, not a curated record
AUGCAAAAUAGUUAAGUAAAUUCAGCUGAGAUAUGGUAUACAUGGAGUGGCUGGAAGAGUAGCCUCCACAGCUGUGUUACUUCUGCAGACUUGCCCUCCCACAACGACUUACCUGAUUAGACAUUUAAAUACAGCAACAUCUUUGGGAUAUGUUCGUUGGUAAAAUUUUCAAUACAUUUUUUUAAAAUUGAUUGACAGAAGGAAAUGAAUAAUUAACACAACAGUUCACGUAUCAGUCCAUAUCUCAGAACAUAAUAUACAAAAUGUAUACUCAUCAUGAAAGCCACUGAAGAAGACUAAAUGUCGAAAUGCAUUUGGCUAUGUUAUACAUUUUGCAUUCUAUGGGCAUUGACUUAAGUAUAUUGGCCACUGUUUAAAAGUUGCCCUUUAUGUUUAUAUUGAUAUUGUUUUGAUUAUACUGUAUAUUCUGUUCUUUAUUGUGUAUGGGCACUGAGUUGUUUACAAAAAGAUUUCUGGCCAUCUUUUUAUUACCAAUGAGAACAUUUAUAAGGAUUUUACAUUGAUUGUUUAUAUAUAUAUAUAUAUAUAAUGUUUGAUAUUAUUUUAUAAAACUGCAUUUUAUGAUUGUACCUUAACUUCUUUUGGAGCACUCUCCACUUUAUCUUCACAACAACCCAGAGAAGUAGGCUAAGUUGAGAAAUGGUGACUGGCCUGAAUCUCUCUGGUCCUAGUUCAACAUACUUAACUACUACAUCAUUCUGGCUUGCACAUAUUUACUGUACAACCUUCUGAAAACUGAAACCAGACAUUAAAUAUUAAAAAAAACUCUCAAGAGUACAGGUACGGUUGCCAAUUUAUAAUCUAGAUGAGCUAGUAAGAUUUUUUAAAGUGCCAACAUACUGGGGCACAGUAUCUUGUGCUCCAUUGUACCUGCUCCUUCAGUAGCCUCAAGGGUUUCAGUUGUAACCUACAGCAAACAGAAGACGAGGAAAUGGCCUGGACCCAGCUUAUCUUUCAGGACACCCAUGCCCUUUGAAGUUGUUUGUCUAGAUCUUCAUGGGAGACACCACUCUGUAAUCCAUUAGUGUGGUAGAGGCAUGUGCUAGGGUCUUCCUUGUUAUAACACAUCUUCUGGAAAUCUGAUCCCACGUCUCCCUCCUUCAAUACAAUGCUCUGCAUGUAAAUUACUCUUGGCUUAAUUUUACUUUAUUUUGUUUUUUAAGUUGCCUUACUGUAAGGUGCCCCUAGCAAGGGCGCUUUGGAAAAGAGAAUACAUGUCAAAAUAAAAGUGAAUCUCUUCUAACCCUAAACUCAGGGGCUCUGAAAGCCUGCACAAGCUUAUUUGCCUGGCAUGCAUUACUUUGCUGCAAAUAAAUGUUAAGACGGCAUGGGCUUGGAAAUAU